RNAcentral lists this long non-coding RNA (983 nucleotides) under Mus spicilegus (steppe mouse). Its description in RNAcentral is "lncRNA (ENSMSIG00000007784.1)". The record is from RNAcentral. Lineage: Eukaryota; Metazoa; Chordata; Mammalia; Rodentia; Muridae.
CAGGUCUCUGGGCCAGACAGGAAAGAUGGGUUGGCUCUACUUUCUCUCCAAACUUGGGUAUCUGGAUAGAUAGACUGGUUUUGCUUCACCCCAGCCCACCUACUUCCAGCAAAAGAAGUCAGACACACCUUCCCAGCCUGCUGUACAGACAGGUGCUGGAACUCUGCCUUAAGCCAGGUAGGCCCAAAGGGAAAUGAACCAGUAGCAGCCUGGUAAUAGAUGAGCUCUUUCCAGAAGUUACUGGGGCCUAGAGUGGCCUUCAGAUGGUCGGUUUUGGCAAAAAGUGUGUCUGCACCCAGCAUGCCCUUGCCAGAUUUAUUGAGCACAAUAAGAUUCUAAACACAAUGUCCUGAACCUGCUACUUCAAAACAUGAGACCAACCCGGGCUACAUGUGAACUUGUCUCAAAAACAAACUACCACCACCACCACCAACAACAACAACAAUGAAACAAACCCAGCUGGUGGUGGUAAGUACAUGCCUGUGAGCCUAGAAUUUGGGAAGGGCGUCAGGAGGAUCAGGAAUAACGGUCACCUUGGGCACUUAAUGAGUCUAAGGCUAGCCUAGCCUAAGUUACAUGAGAGCCCAUCUCAAAACAGGGUCCAUCAGAUAAAGUCAUUUUCGAGAAUCUGUUUGAGACAUGGAAGGGAGAGCCAGUUCCUGAAGACUAUCCUCUGACCACCACCACCACCACACACACACACACACACACACACACACACACACACACACACACACGGCACAUGCUCACACACACACAUAAGUAAUUAAUUACAAAUUUAAAGCAGAGGCUGAAGAGAUGUCUCAGUGGUUAAGAGCACUUGCCUGCUUUUUCAGAGGACCCAGGUUUGGUUUCCAACAUCUGCAUGGCAGCCAUUAAAGGUCUGGGACUUCAGCUCCAGGGGCUUUAGUGCUCUCUUCUUGACUCUGAGGUGACCUCUCUAGCACACACACAAUUAAAAUAAAUGUCAGGCUGGAGAGACA